GGAUGGGUUACGUAAAGUUUCCAUCGUCCAAUUGAAGAUCCAACAAAUUUAACUAAUGUUUAAAUGUUUACAUAAUGCUAACAAGUCCAUGAAGCAGAUCUUUUCACCAGGGGCUUCAUUUGCUUGUCUUCUUCAAGUGACAUCAUACCCAGAUGAGAAGGAUCUUCUAACAUCAUCUUAGCCACCAAGUACCCUGAAAUCGACCAUGUUUGGAACUUGCGAGCCUGCUUUCCAACAAAUCGACCAAGUUUUCCAUCAUAAUAUUCAGGCCAGUGGUCCUUUGACAAUCGGGUUUCAGUGAGUUCAAUGGCACGCCUUGCAAUUUGUGGACGCCCAGUUUUGAUACAGGCUGCUGUAAGGAGCCAUAGAAGUACUGGCCAAGAGCCUCCAUUGUGGUAACUCCACCUUGUAUUCUUUGGGUCACAGCCAGUCACAAUACGCCAUUCAUGACUUUCUAUGGCUGGAUAACAGAUCUUCAAUGGCAUUUCUCCAACCAAUUCUUCCCAACGGGAUUCAAUGAGAUCCAUUAUUGCUGAAGCUUGCUCUGGGGUUGCUAGGGAUGACAAAAUAGCAACACAGUUACCCAAGCAGAACCAUCGGAAGUCCAUCCUUGCUGGACUCACAUUUCCAAUGAAGUAGCCACCACGAGUAGGCAUGAAAUCAAACACCCAAUCUGGAAGAGAGUCAGGCAUGACAUUGAACUUGUUAACUGCAGUAUGAGAGUACUCCUCUGUUUUAUAUCGAUAUAUAUCAUUAAGCUGCUUCAGAUCCAGCCAAAAAUAACUGCGCAUGUGAUAGCUUAAAGCAUGGAGGCGUGAAACUAUCCUCUCAAUAAAUUCCUUGCCCUCCUCAUCAUGUUUAAGUAAAAUCGAAGCACACCUUAAAGCCAUAAAGAAGAGUGCUUGUAUCUCAAUAGGAUAUCCAUAUACACCCAUUCUACGGUCAAUCAUACAGCAUCCAUCGGCACAGAGCAGAGUUGGGAACGUUUCAAAGCCUUCUGACAGGCACAAAGUCAGGAUAAGGCGCAUACCCCUUUGGCAAUCUGGUCUCUCAGCCAAGGAAGAAUCGCCAGUAGACUUCGUAUAUGCACGAAGCAAUAUAAUCCACCAA
Molecule: unclassified non-coding RNA, 1110 nt
Filed under: Hevea brasiliensis (rubber tree)
Lineage: Eukaryota; Viridiplantae; Streptophyta; Magnoliopsida; Malpighiales; Euphorbiaceae
Source: RNAcentral